RNAcentral lists this ribosomal RNA (241 nucleotides) under uncultured bacterium. RNAcentral describes it as "partial 16S ribosomal RNA". It matches the Rfam family "Bacterial small subunit ribosomal RNA", at positions 15 to 235 of the family's 1533-position model. The record is from RNAcentral.
GAUCCUGGCUCAGGAUGAACGCUGGCGGCGUGCCUAACACAUGCAAGUCGAGCGAAGCGCUUUGCUUAGAUUCUUCGGAUGAAGAGGAUUGUGACUGAGCGGGCGACGGGUGAAGGUAACGCGUGGGUAACCUGCCUCAUACAGGGGGAUAACAGUUAGAAAUGACUGCUAAGUACCGCAUAAGACCACAGCACCGCAUGGUGCGGGGGUAAAAACUCCGGUGGUAUGAGAUGGACCCGCG